GCGUGACAUGCAGGCUGAACAGAGUAUA
Molecule: non-coding RNA, 28 nt
Filed under: Cricetulus griseus (Chinese hamster)
Lineage: Eukaryota; Metazoa; Chordata; Mammalia; Rodentia; Cricetidae
Source: RNAcentral